CCAUAUAAUGUUGAAACACAGGUCCCCAAACGAUCACAAAAGUUAAGCAAUGUCAAGCCUGGUCUGUACCUAGAUGGGUGACCACUUGAGAAUACCAGGUACUGUAA
Acanthosepion pharaonis is the source of this 107-nucleotide non-coding RNA. Lineage: Eukaryota; Metazoa; Mollusca; Cephalopoda; Sepiida; Sepiidae. The record is from the annotation of a GenBank genome assembly.